Molecule: ribosomal RNA, 220 nt
Filed under: Hebeloma eburneum
Lineage: Eukaryota; Fungi; Basidiomycota; Agaricomycetes; Agaricales; Hymenogastraceae
Description: partial small subunit ribosomal RNA
Source: RNAcentral
CUGUCGCUGGGGAGAAAUUCAGCUUGGGGGAAAGCGCCGCGAAGUAUAAUUUUAAAUAAAGUAAAACAUUAUAAAAUAAUAAAAUAUUGAUUAUUAUUUAUAAGUGUAGUUAUUCUUUAACUUAUAAUUUGAUUAUAAUUUGAUUAGGUAUUUAACUGCUUUUUUUAUGUCUAAUUAGUUUCGACUAACCCAUCUGAGUAACAUCUCAAAAGUCAUAGCA